This is a long non-coding RNA of Ailuropoda melanoleuca (giant panda), 3779 nucleotides long. RefSeq lists it as uncharacterized. The transcript is spliced from 5 exons. NCBI's taxonomy places the organism in Eukaryota, Metazoa, Chordata, Mammalia, Carnivora, Ursidae. The record is from RefSeq and is a predicted model, not a curated record.
CUCCUACCCUUCCUCUUCGUGGGCGCUGCGCUUGACGCCGUGACCAAUCACAGGUCACGUCGCGCCGCCGCAGCCAAUCGGAAAAGCCAGGAGCAUUAAGACGAGCAGUUGACGGCUCCUCCCUCUCUGUUCGAGGGUGGUUGGCGGGUUUAGUUGUUUAAGGCUUGCUUUUUCUUCUGUUUCAACCCCAUCUGGUUACAUCCGAUGCCAUCGGGGUUCUUGUGAGGCCGAGCUUGAGAAUGCGAAGGGAAAAGGCAAGAGCAAAACUGAGGCUAAUGCAGGGGCAUGCGGAUAGGUCUCCUUUGCGAACUCAGAACUGGAGGAAAUGGCUGGAGGAAGAGAUGGGAAGAAAAGAGAUAAACGUGGUGCCGUAGAAAUAUUGAUUAAAAAUUGGGCCCCCAAAUAAAUUAUUUACUGAGAGGCACAUCAUUUCCUUGCGUUUUAUUUGGUAGUUCCUUGAUGUGAAGAUAAUAUAGGAACUGUUGGUGUGGUUGGCCUGAAACAAAUGACCCCGGACGAGCUUAAAUGAGAGUGAAUAUGAGGAUACGUCGGCUUUUAAUUCAACGAACCUUUUUCUACAAGAUCCUUUGUCACUGGGGGAUUAAGAAGUCAGUAAGCAGGCAAGAGUGAUUACAACAUUUCCCAGCCAGAUUGCUGCUUUUUCCCCUUUUUGUUUACUUAGUCCAGAUUCCAGCCAAAAAGGAAUUAACAUUCUUGAAGAUGUUGGAAAAAGAUUCCUGGGCCUUGGAAGAUAAUUACUCCAAAUAUACAGGGGAGUGGGAGGAGGGCGAAGUGGAGAGACAUCAGUUUUCCAGACUCUGAUUUGGCAAGCCUCAGUUCCUUGAUGGCUGUUGGCUAAAGACUUCAGUUCUUCACCAUGUGAACAAAAGCUACCUGAGUAUCCCCACAACAUGACAACUGGCUUCCACCAGAGGGAAUGAUCCAAGAGAGAAAUGCCAAGACAACAUGUAGGUGGGCACAAAUAAGGGUCUGAAUACCAAGGGUGGGGGAUUGUUGGGAUCCUCUUGGAGGUAGACCACCAUACUUGACUCUGUUUUCUUUAACUGCUUCAAUUUAUUGAAUCAGGAGUUUUAUAUUUAACCCUCUGGUCAGAUCAUUAGAAGUAUGAGAGUCUAUGUAUCCAAAUAAGUGCUCUCUUCUAAGGUGCACAAUUUUUUGCCUGUGAAUAUAUAAAUUCCAUAAGUAAUGCUACACUCCUUUUGGAAAUUUUUUAAGGAGUGUAUAAGAAAGCUCAUUUUAUAGUUAGAAUACUCUACCUUGAUCAAAUAUAUUUUUCUUGGACCCAUUUCCCUUUUCCCAAUUCUUCCUAGGUGGAGGUGGUUAGAGAGGCUGAAGUAGACAUAGAUAUAAGUACCCCUGGUAUUUUGCUUGGGGUGCAGACUGACUUGGAAAGUUUGAAAUUUCUGUUUCCAGUUUUUUCAAGGAAUGUAGUCCAAUUACUUAAUGGCACUUACACAAAUAUUUGACAUAGGAUGGAAUGAAGGUGUAAAUAUGCAGCAGCUUUAAAGCAAUUUGUCCUUUUCCUCAAAAGCUUUAUCCAAUAUGGUAAGUAUACUUUUUUCUUUUUUUUUUUUUUUUAAGUAGACUCCACACCCGGCGUAGAGCCCAACACAGGGCUUGAACUCAUGACCCUGAGAUCAAGACCUGAGCUAAGAUCAAGAGUCAGAGAGGCACCCUAUACUUUUCUUUCUGUUGCUCCCCUCCCCCCAUGGUCUUCUGUCCCUCUUAAUGAGCAAAAUACAGACUUUGCCACGCAAUCAGAAUGCCCAUAAUUGGCAGAAUUCUAAUUAGUGCCCAAGAUUUGUAACCUUUUGAGCCGCCUUCUCCCUUUAUCACUGCUUAAAAGUUCUUCAUUAGGAGUGACAACUCUCCGCCUUUUCCUUUAAAGCUUAUGUGCUUCUGAUGAUUCAAACCUUGUCAAAUAACUAAAAGCAUUAUGUAUAAAACAAGAUAUAACCGGUUUUGGAAUGUAUUUGUGUUAAGCUAUAAUUAUCCUUUCCAUGUCAAGCUUAAUGUUGAGAAUACGUUUCUAAGUUAUCAUGAGGUAAUCUAUGAGUAGAUAAAUAAUACAAUUGAAAUUAUCUUUGGUAUGAGUUUUUUCGAAUCAUAGUAAAAUUGGAGGUCUUAUCUGUUCAUGAGAAUUAAAAUUUAUAGAAAGGUGCAUUUAUUCUUUAAAAAGGGCUAAACCAUGAAAAUCUUACAGUUAUGGUUUAAGUUGAAAAUAGGAAAAAAAUAUAAAUGUCCAAUGAUUAAACUUUUUCCACUGCUGUUCACAUCAUGAUUUGUUGUGAUUAAUGUAUGUGGAUGAGGACAUAAUGGAAAAAGAAAAUCAUAGUGGGAGAAAAAAGUAUAGAUAAGAUACAGUUUCUGUUAUGUUUGAUGUACUUAUUAAUAUUUUCCCUUUUAGGAAUGAAAUUGAAGGGUGUUUUUGUUAGCAUCAUUUUGUCAGAUUUAUCUGAUAAAAAAUGUGAGAACAAGAUACAGGUAGUCCUUACUUCGCAUCGUUCCAAUAUACGUGAAGAUCAGUGUUCGCGGUUUAAAUAACACGAUUCCCCUACAACAUGGUUGAAAUUUCAGUUACCACAAGUGACCAAAUUGUUGCAUAAGCUUUGAUGGUAGCUCUUUAUUCCACAAAUGAUUAUGCAUAUAAAAGAUGGUCACUAACCACUUAUAUCACUUCUUUCAAAAGUCUGUUGGUGAUUGAUCACUGAACAUGUAGUUCACAGAGUAAAGCAUGUAGUUGUGUUGCUUGCUUGUUUCCCAGUGAUAAACUCCCCGACAUUUUACAAAAAUGGAUCAUCAAAAGAGGGAAUUGGUCAACAAAGAUGACAGGGCAGCAAAGAAACAAAAAGUGGUAACACUGGAAGUGAAAUCGGACGUCAUUAGAUUUGAAAGUGGUGACAGCAUAGUGAAGAUGAGACCUAGGCUGACAUCAACCUGUAGUACGAACCAUCUUUUAAAAGUUCAGUAAAACAACUUUUAGGUAAAGUUACUUCAACAUUUUUUUAGUUUAAAUUGUGCUAGGAACAGAAAGCUGUGUAUGGUUGAAAUGGAGUGUUUACUUCUACUUUGAACUGAGGACUGUAAUAAAAAACAAAUCCCAAUCAGUUUGGCUAGCAUUCAAGCCAAAGGGUUGAGGCUAGUUGCUACACUGAAGGAAAAUGGUAACUACAAGGAGACUGAAAAAGAACAUUUUACUGCUAAUAAAGGCUGGUUUCAUCAUUUCCACAGUCUGUAUGAAUUGAUUAAUGUUCUGCUGUCUGGUGAAGCUGCAAGCUCAGAUAAGGAUGCUACUGUGAAAUUCGCACCAUUCCAAGAAUCACAGGCAGUCCUUGCUUUGCACAGUACAAGACUCCUGUGUAAAAAGUUCUUAGGAUUUGGCUGUAAUGUAAAUGGAGUUCUAGAAGAUGCAGAUGAGCGUGGGAAUGUUGACACUGCUGCCAUUCUAGAUACUCAUCCAAAACAAUUUAGUGAAGGUGAACAUAGUUAAAAGGAGAAAAAGCAGUUGCGUGUUGUAAAGGAUGAAUACGUUUCAGAAGAAGUGAUGCAGGUGAAAAACCACAUUAAAGGAACUCUCAGAUAUUUCAUGACAUUGAAUGCGUAAAGAAUAAAAUUUUGGAAGCAGAUCUAAACUCAGGAGUAUGACAAUUUACCAAGGUGUAGAAAAGGUGCUUGCCCCAUAUUGUAAAUUACGAGAAAGCAGCCACUAUUCAAACUACUCUUGAGACUUUUCUGUAAAUAAAAUGCUGUAAUUUUCA